This 206-nucleotide unclassified non-coding RNA is filed under the name Hevea brasiliensis (rubber tree). Lineage: Eukaryota; Viridiplantae; Streptophyta; Magnoliopsida; Malpighiales; Euphorbiaceae. The record is from RNAcentral.
GCAGUUUUAUAAAUUAUAAGAGUGGACACGUCGGUGGGGAUUUAAUCAUUUAGGUCUGCUCCUAGAAGUCAUCCCCCCACCCCACCUGUAUGAUUUUGUAAUUUCUUCAUAUUAUGGUGAUCUGUUUGAGUCUGUGAAAAGCGUGUGGAUCAUUUACAAAUAGUUUUGAGUACAAUUUGUAUGCAUAUAUUGUUGAGAUGAUUUUU